UGACCUCGGAUCAGGCAGGGAUACCCGCUGAACUUAAGCAUAUCAAUAAGCC
This 52-nucleotide ribosomal RNA is filed under the name fungal endophyte MUT 788. RNAcentral describes it as "partial 28S ribosomal RNA". The record is from RNAcentral. Lineage: Eukaryota; Fungi; Ascomycota.